GCCUGUGUGUUUAAAUGGCUGCUCCAUAUGCUCACAUGAUUCAAUCUGCAACCGUUUUGCGCAAGAGCAAUCUGUAUCUUUCGCGCUAUGACUGCGGCAAAUACAAUGGUAAGAGGGGACGUCCUCAUGUAGCUUUGCCUCAAUCCAGCAAUCAGAGAGAAACAUUUCCAUCGACCCCAAGGUUGAAUCACUUCUAGACAGCGUGAAAUGGGACAGCAAAGGUUUGGCGGUGGCAAUAGCUCAAAACGUGGACACAGGAGCCAUACUCAUGCAAGGCUUUGCCAAUAGAGAUGCUCUCGCUGCAACCAUAUCCUCUCGCAAGGCAACAUUCUAUAGCCGCUCACGGUCAACAUUAUGGACAAAGGGAGAGACCUCUAAUAAUUUCAUUAAUGUUCUUGAUGUCUUCCUUGACUGUGAUCGUGAUUCUAUUAUAUACUUGGGAAGCCAGAUGGGCCAACCUGUCAUACUGGGUCAGAGACAUGCUAUUAUACGUCAGUCUUUGACUUGUUAAAAGAGCAAGAGGCCAAAGGAAGUAGAGAUGGCUUUAACCUCAUUGUAUGCAUUAGAGUCAACAAUCUCCCAGCGCGAAGCAGAGUUAGCAGAAGGAGAAACUGGAAAGCCUUCAUGGACAAAGCGAUUGCUGCUGGACCAUAAUUUGCUGUGCUCUAAAAUCCGAGAGGAGGCCGAUGAGUUGUGCCAAACACUCGAGAACAACGAGGACAAGUCACGAGCUGCCUCAGAGAUGGCAGAUUUACUAUAUCAUGCCAUGGUUUUGCAGGCAAUUAAAGGAGUGAAAGUAGAAGAUGUUUUGGAGGUUAUUCGAAAAAGAUUUUCUCAAUCCGGCAUUGAGGAAAAGAGAAGCCGGGCGUCUAAAAAAUCAGAGGAACAUUGAAGGUCCUGUCAAAUCUGCUUCUGAAACACCAUUUUGAGUCUGUGGUGACUGUUGAUGGGAUACAGCAUUCAUGGACAUCAGCAGACAGGUUCACUUUGUAGGGAUAAUGUUGUCGUAUUGUGGUGUACAUUUUGUGUUCUUUACUUGUUGUUAAUGUGAUUGUUAUCGUCCCGAUUCUCCCUAGAUCAGUUUCACACAUUUUAAAGGCUUUGAUAGGUGACUUAAUUGGUUGGCUUGGAUGCUUAUUUAUGGAAUGCUGUAGUAUCAUGAUUUCUUAUUUUAAGAGCAAGGGUGUUGGGAGU
Neltuma alba is the source of this 1194-nucleotide long non-coding RNA. RefSeq lists it as uncharacterized. The record is from RefSeq and is a predicted model, not a curated record. The transcript is spliced from 5 exons. NCBI's taxonomy places the organism in Eukaryota, Viridiplantae, Streptophyta, Magnoliopsida, Fabales, Fabaceae.